UACGUAGGGGGCAAGCGUUGUCCGGAAUUAUUGGGCGUAAAGAGCUCGUAGGCGGUUUGUCGCGUCUGCUGUGAAAACUCGGGGCUUAACCCCGGGCCUGCAGUGGGUACGGGCAGACUAGAGUGCGGUAGGGGAGACUGGAAUUCCUGGUGUAGCGGUGAAAUGCGCAGAUAUCAGGAGGAACACCGGUGGCGAAGGCGGGUCUCUGGGCAUUAACUGACGCUGAGGAGCGAAAGCAUGGGGAGCGAACAGG
This 253-nucleotide ribosomal RNA is filed under the name uncultured bacterium. RNAcentral's name for it is "partial 16S ribosomal RNA". It matches the Rfam family "Bacterial small subunit ribosomal RNA", at positions 524 to 776 of the family's 1533-position model. The record is from RNAcentral.